AUACGGGGGGUGCAAGCGUUAUUCGGAUUUAUUGGGCGUAAAGAGCGCGUAGGCGGCUUGGUAAGUCAGAUGUGAAAGCCCGGGGCUCAACCCCGGAAGUGCAUUUGAAACUAUCAGGCUUGAGUAUGGGAGAGGGAAGUGGAAUUCCUGGUGUAGAGGUGAAAUUCGAAGAUAUCAGGAGGAACACCGGUGGCGAAGGCGACUUCCUGGACCAAUACUGACGCUGAGGCGCGAAGGCGUGGGGAGCAAACAGGAUUAGAAACCCCAGUAGUCC
Molecule: ribosomal RNA, 274 nt
Filed under: uncultured bacterium
Lineage: Bacteria
Description: partial 16S ribosomal RNA
Rfam family: Bacterial small subunit ribosomal RNA
Source: RNAcentral